Coffea arabica (coffee) is the source of this 966-nucleotide non-coding RNA. NCBI's taxonomy places the organism in Eukaryota, Viridiplantae, Streptophyta, Magnoliopsida, Gentianales, Rubiaceae. The record is from RefSeq and is a predicted model, not a curated record.
GCAGUGAUGGUGGGUAAUAAAUUUGAUAAAAGCCCUUUGUCGGUUGAAAACCCAUUUGUUUACACUCUUCCCUCGCCGCUCCUCCCUUGGCGCGCCUCUCUCUCUCUCUCCCCGAUCCUGCGCUCGCCACAAAUACGAAUAUUAUGGCAAAUAGCAAUUUACCGAGACGAAUUAUCAAGGAAACGCAGCGUCUUCUCAGUGAACCAUCGCCUGGAAUUAGCGCGUCGCCUUCGGAAGACAACAUGCGGCAUUUUAAUGUGAUGAUACUUGGCCCUGCACAAUCCCCGUAUGAAGGAGGCGUAUUCAAGUUGGAAUUGUUUCUACCUGAAGAUUAUCCAAUGGCACCACCUAAGGUUCGCUUUUUGACUAAAAUAUACCAUCCCAACAUUGACAAGCUGGGAAGGAUAUGUCUUGACAUUCUGAAAGACAAAUGGAGUCCAGCUCUCCAGAUCCGAACAGUUUUAUUAAGUAGUUCUUAACAAAUAUGUGGAUGAAGCUAAUACCAAGACCUUGUCUGAAUUCAGCAUACAAGCUCUUCUUAGUGCGCCAAAUCCAGAUGAUCCACUUGCGGAUAACAUUGCGAAGCAUUGGAAGUCAAAUGAGUCUGAGGCUGUUGAAACAGCAAAGGAAUGGACUAGUGCAUACGCAACUGGUGCAUGACAAAGAAGGCAGGAUAUCGUGGUUAAAAAGGAUUUUGGCAACUCUUGUUGUAUGUUUAAUUGACAGGCAAGUUUGUCGUUUGAGUAAUAGAUGAAUUAGUCUUUCAAACUAAUGUACCAUUGGUGUCCCUAAAACUUCCGCAUUCAGCUGUAGUUUACUAUUUUCCGGUUUAGAAGGCUUGCUUUAAAUAUGUACAGCCGCCUUGCUAUAUUUUGUUAUAAAUUUAGUGGUAAGGUACACUUCUAUAGAUUGCUUGUCAUACAUUUUAGGGAUAAUUAUAGAAGCCUCCUUUAAGGUUUUUGACAA